RNAcentral lists this microRNA precursor (61 nucleotides) under Pristionchus pacificus. RNAcentral's name for it is "mir-8364 microRNA precursor family". It matches the Rfam family "mir-8364 microRNA precursor family". Lineage: Eukaryota; Metazoa; Nematoda; Chromadorea; Rhabditida; Neodiplogasteridae. The record is from Rfam by way of RNAcentral.
UCUUCAUUUCACACACUCUCUCACCGAUCGGAGAGGCGAUGGAGCGCGUGAAAUGAAGAGA